CAGGAAUUUCAGCCAUUCCGGGAUGAAAGCCUCCUGAAAGGAAUCUCUUUCCCUGUGGGACUGCCCAGCUUUCAGCCCUGCUUCUGGGGGAAGAGUUCACCAGAGGACACCUCAUGUAUUUGGAACCAAACGUGCCAUGAAGUGCAGGACUGCUGGAGCCUGUGGGGCUGGAGCAGGUGCUGACGUUGGCCAGGCUGGUGGGACCCCAGGAGGAGAACUCUGAGCCAAUUCCCUUCCCUAGCAGUGGUUGUUCAUUAUGGCAGAGGCCUGAAAAUGAUGAUUUCUG
This 286-nucleotide long non-coding RNA is filed under the name Parus major (Great Tit). RNAcentral describes it as "lncRNA (ENSPMJG00000005777.1)". Lineage: Eukaryota; Metazoa; Chordata; Aves; Passeriformes; Paridae. The record is from RNAcentral.